RNAcentral lists this unclassified non-coding RNA (97 nucleotides) under Aneurinibacillus migulanus. The record is from RNAcentral. Lineage: Bacteria; Bacillati; Bacillota; Bacilli; Caryophanales; Paenibacillaceae.
GAACGCCGUAUGCUAUGAAAGUGGCACUUACGGUGUAAGACAAUGGAAAAGGCAACCCUAACGAGUUAUGCCGAGGGUGAGCUUUACCUAUUGUCAU